UUCCCUCAUUAACUACCUUAAUGAGCCUUCUAUGGCACAGUUAGCACUCUCUCUCGUCUUCUUCCCCAAAUUAAACUCUGUCUCAGCUUUCUCUCACAACUUCAUCAGCUCAGCUCACCCUCUGCACCUAUCCUCACCCCGACAGACUCAACCCACCCAACCAUAACCUCUGCUUCACACACAACGGCGACGGUGGCCCAACCCCAACUCUUAUCUCUAUUCGGAGACUCCAACCCCAUUCGAACCCUAAACGAACCAAAGAGGUUCAUUUUCUCACAGCCAUUUCGCACCAUAUUCUUUGGCUGUCUAGGGUCGAUUUCGCACCCAGCCCGUGUCCUCCGUCUCUUGGCCCUUAGAUUUCGCACGCCCACUACAACAAUUUUGUUAUAUAUCUAAUAAUGUUUUGACAAAUAAUUUCAAUUUCUAAUUUGAUGAAAGCAUAAGUCUCGUUUCUCUGAUCUAUCUCUCUUCACCCGGUCGCUCUUCAAUUUCUCAUCAUCGUCGUCACCAUCAACAUCGCCAUUGCUCCCAAUCUCAAGCUUUGGCAUGGGGCUGCAAUCUUUUGUAAAGUUAUCAGUUAUGAACUCUAAGGUGGCUAAGUUUGUAAGGUUAGUUUACUCAAAUCUUACAUAUUAUCAGCUAAAUUUCCUCUAAUAUUAUAUUAUAUUGGGCUGCAUUUUAGUUGUUCAAUAAAUAUUCAUUAUACAAAACUAACCAUUGUGAUUGUAAAUUUCCUUGUACAGAUUUGUGGAGUAUAAAUCUGAUAGGUCUCAAAGUUAUGAGAAUAACUUAUAGCCUAUUAAUAGUAUGUAAUUAACUUAAUAGUCUUAUGGUCUUCAUGAGAUUAAUAGAUGACUAUAUAUAUGAGAUUAAUAGAUGGCUAUAUGAGAUUAAUAGAUGACUAUAUAAGAUUGAGAUGAGAUAACUUAUAGCCUAUUAAUAGUAUGUAAUUAACUUAAUAGUCUUAUGGUCUUUAUGGAACAUAUCAUUGAACUAUAUGCCUUGUCUAGACAUUUUUUAUUGUGUUUAUGUGAUCUUUUAUUAACUAAGGUUGAGUCAAAGAAUAAUUAUAUGUUCGUGUAGUUAUUUCUGUGUUAUGCUAGACCUUCUUUAAAUGUUCGUCUAGAGCGUAUCUCAUGAGAUUGCUUCAUGAAUGAUGGUGCACUAGCUGAAGUUAUCACUUUAUAUGAAAAAAUGGAUGAUUGUAAUCCACUAGAUGAUUGAAACCAAAAAACAGAAGUGACAAAAAAGGGAGACUGUCAUUUCAGCGAAUGAGGCAAGAAAUUCUUUACAUUUUCAUGAACAAUCUCUAAUUUUAUGUUUUUUAAGUCUAUUAUUUUCUUUAUAAUUUCUCUUUUACAGAUCUUUCACUAGUUAAUUAUAUCUCUUGAAUGUUUAAUCCUUAUAAAUUAUUAUGAAACUACAUUUAUAGCUCUUUGUCAUGUGUAAGAAAUUACAAAAUCUUAAUUAUUUGCCUUAAAAAUUUGUCAUGGUCUUUUUUUUGUUCAAAUAUAUUAGUUACUAUUAAACUUUAUUUUUAUUCCAUUUGCUAUCUUUUGUUAUAAUGUUUAAAGGGGAACAUGAACAUGACAGAUUUGGUCAUCCAAGCAUUACCCUUGACUAUUCGUUAUCUAAAACAAUUUAGUUUUGAAAGGUUAUUUUCUCAAGGGGUUUCUUUUAGGCCCUUAUCCAACAACUUCGAGAUGACCCUAUCUGCCAAUGCAAUUCAACAGUUGGAGGUAUAUGCUCUUUUAUUAGUUAUGUUAUAAACAUUGUUUCUAUUUUGAAGUUUCCACAUGAUGAUGGUUUGGACUGUGAAUUGCUAAUAUCGGCAAUCUUCCUACCUACUAACUGCAGCCUCUAGUGAUUUUGCAGAACAACAAUGAUUGGUCCGAAUUGGGCUCUUUGUUGCAGUCCAUGGAUCACACUUUUACUAUAUUUGGUUCAAGGCUUCUUAGGCACCGGGUAUGGAACAAUGCUUGACAAUGUCAUUAGUCUUAAGGUAGUUCUUGCCAAUGGAGAUGUCAAGACAGCAUCUCUUGCAUGAAAGAGUGUUGCAGGUUGUUGACUUUGAGAAUAAAAAUACAACAUGGUUGUGGACUUGUGGUGCUUAGAGAUCAUCUUUCAAAGUGACUCCCAAUAAGCAGUUCAAGCAAUAUUGGCAUCACAGAUCAUGCCUACAUAUCCAGCUCCUCAGAGAAUGUUUUAAGAGUUUGAGGGGCAGGUGCCUUCACUUUUUUUUUUUGUUUGUUUAUUGCAUUGCUAGUUUCUUUGUUGUUCAUUUAAUUUAGUUUAUACUGGGUAGCUUAUUUUAUUUUUUUUGUUGGUAACUCUGAUUCAUUC
Molecule: long non-coding RNA, 2343 nt
Organism: Cannabis sativa
Lineage: Eukaryota; Viridiplantae; Streptophyta; Magnoliopsida; Rosales; Cannabaceae
Exons: 6
Source: RefSeq, a predicted model, not a curated record